AGCCACAGCCAUAUCACGCUGCAGCCCAAGACCAGUUACUCGCUGAAGCUAAGCAGGGCUUACCUGGUCAGUACCUGGAUGGGAAACUACAUGGAAAAACUAUGUUGCUGUUGGAA
This 116-nucleotide ribosomal RNA is filed under the name Danio rerio (zebrafish). The record is from RNAcentral. Lineage: Eukaryota; Metazoa; Chordata; Actinopteri; Cypriniformes; Danionidae.